Molecule: long non-coding RNA, 1048 nt
Organism: Megalopta genalis
Lineage: Eukaryota; Metazoa; Arthropoda; Insecta; Hymenoptera; Halictidae
Source: RefSeq, a predicted model, not a curated record
CAUAUAACUUGAAAAACUUUUUGCUACUUAGCUAUAUUGCACAAUGUACCUAACUCAAGGCUUGUUCUCUUAAGACAUGUAUUUUGAGUGUAAUAGAUUAAGGCAGAAAUACGAUUAUAGAAGCAUCGGUUAACUAGGACCUAACAUUAUCAUGUUACCUAACAUUUUCUAUAGUAAUUACUUUGAACUUUACAAAAAGCUUUCUUUUGAACAUUAUAAAAAUUUGAAGGAUGAAGUAAUUGAUCGAGUUACAUGUUGUUUCAAAUUGUUGGUUUUUAUGUAUACAUGUACCUAUUCGCAGAUUCAGACAACUUUAUAUAUCGCGUGUAUGCAAAGUUGUUUGACACUUUCUUAAUUUACUAUGGACACUGAUAACAAAUGUAUGCAUACUGUUAAUGUAUCGGGGCAUAGAUGAAUCAGUUAGAACCAUUGAAACAUUUACUAUAUUAUCUUCAUUUUAAUUAAUGUCAUAACUCCUUGAUGAAAAUGGAAGUAAAAAUGUUCCAAUUGUAGGUGUCCCAUUAGUUUCAAGGAUUAUGAAAAAUAUGCAUGACUUGUGCUUAGUUACAGGUUUAGAGCAAUUGAGAUACCGGCGUUUGUUUACCGCUUGAAGUAUAUAUAUUCAUAGAGUAUGUUUUUUCAUUGUUUCAUUAUAACCUUGAUAUCUGCCUGUAUUUGUACACGUUGAAAGAGGAGCUCUAAGCUUGAAUAGCAAAAAGAGAGCAGUAUGAUCGCAGAGCCGAAGUACCAUGCCACAGACGAGAUAUUGCUACUCGAAAGACCCUGAAUAUGAUGCAAGUUAUUAUGAUGAAAUAUUUUAUAACAAUACAUAGGGUGAUACCAUAUGGCGUAAGAUUAUUUCUAUGUUCCUAGUGGUAUUCAGUCACGGUGAAAUGACAGAAACACCUUUGCUACAGAUACAGAACUUACUCCGUUUACAUGAUAACCCAUUGGUUACUUGAACCAUCUAUGAGUAUAAUAAUGUAUUGUAUAUUAUGUAAUGUUUGCGACCAAAGUACAGGAUCUACAAUACCAACACGUAGAGAAA